GUUAGCUUAAAAUAAUUAGUUUCGACCUAAUUUUUGAUUGGCUAAUU
This 47-nucleotide transfer RNA is filed under the name Aleuroglyphus ovatus (brown legged grain mite). RNAcentral's name for it is "tRNA-Arg". The record is from RNAcentral. Lineage: Eukaryota; Metazoa; Arthropoda; Arachnida; Sarcoptiformes; Acaridae.